UAUGCCAUUGAAGAGAAGUGGGGAGA
This 26-nucleotide non-coding RNA is filed under the name Homo sapiens (human). The record is from RNAcentral. Lineage: Eukaryota; Metazoa; Chordata; Mammalia; Primates; Hominidae.